Molecule: non-coding RNA, 133 nt
Filed under: Canis lupus familiaris (dog)
Lineage: Eukaryota; Metazoa; Chordata; Mammalia; Carnivora; Canidae
Also listed under: 1 other name
Source: miRBase by way of RNAcentral
UCUGGGAUGGGGUUCAGGGGCUGCGUGUUUCUCUAUCGGCCAUGGACUCUGCCCUGUUUCUGGAAGGACAUGGGGCAAGUCAGCCCUGUGGACAAACAUUUCUCCUUAUCCUGUCCCAGUGCCAGCUCCACGG